This 107-nucleotide small nuclear RNA is filed under the name Echinops telfairi (small Madagascar hedgehog). The record is from RNAcentral. Lineage: Eukaryota; Metazoa; Chordata; Mammalia; Afrosoricida; Tenrecidae.
GUGCUCGCUUCGGCAGCACAUAUACUAAAAUUGGAACGAUACAGAGAAGAUUAGCAUGGCCCCUGCACAAGGAUGACACACAAAUUCGUAAAGCAUUCCAUAUUUUU